Molecule: ribosomal RNA, 418 nt
Filed under: uncultured microorganism
Description: bacterial SSU rRNA
Rfam family: Bacterial small subunit ribosomal RNA
Source: RNAcentral
GAGUUUGAUCGUGGCUCAGAUUGAACGCUGGCGGCAGGCCUAACACAUGCAAGUCGAGCGGAUGAAGGGAGCUUGCUCCUGGAUUCAGCGGCGGACGGGUGAGUAAUGCCUAGGAAUCUGCCUGGUAGUGGGGAUAACGUCCGGAACGGGCGCUGAUACCGCAUACGUCCUGAGGGAGAAAGUGGGGAUCUUCGGACCUCACGCUAUCAGAUGAGCCUAGGUCGGAUUAGCUAGUUGGUGGGGUAAAGGCCUACCAAGGCGACGAUCCGUAACUGGUCUGAGAGGAUGAUCAGUCACACUGGAACUGAGACACGGUCCAGACUCCUACGGGAGGCAGCAGGUGGGGAAUAUUGGACAAUGGGCGAAAGCCUGAUCCAGCCAUGCCGCGUGUGUGAAGAAGGUCUUCGGAUUGUAAAGC